UCGGGAAUUUUGGGCAAUGGGCGAAAGCCUGACCCAGCAACGCCGCGUGAAGGAUGAAGUAUUUCGGUAUGUAAACUUCGAAAGAAUAGGAAGAAUAAAUGACGGUACUAUUUAUAAGGUCCGGCUAACUACGUGCCAGCAGCCGCGGUAAUACGUAGGGUGCAGGCGUUAAUCGGAAUUACUGGGCGUAAAGCGUGCGCAGGCGGUUUGUUAAGACAGGUGUGAAAUCCCCGGGCUUAACCUGGGAAUUGCGCUUGUAACUGGCAGGCUAGAGUGUGGCAGAGGGGGUGGAAUUCCACGUGUAGCAGUGAAAUGCGUAGAUAUGUGGAGGAACACCGAUGGCGAAGGCAGCCCCCUGGGUUAACACUGACGCUCAUGCACGAAAGCGUGGGGAGCAAACAGGAUUAGAUACCCCCGUAGUCCCUGAGCGGGCUGGCAAGGCGCAU
RNAcentral lists this ribosomal RNA (446 nucleotides) under uncultured bacterium. Its description in RNAcentral is "bacterial SSU rRNA". It matches the Rfam family "Bacterial small subunit ribosomal RNA", at positions 355 to 825 of the family's 1533-position model. The record is from RNAcentral.